GUGAACGCUGGCGGUAGGCCUAACACCUGCAAGUCGAACGGCAGCACAGUAAGAGCUUGCUCUUACGGGUGGCGAGUGGCGGACGGGUGAGGAAUACAUCGGAAUCUACUUUUUCGUGGGGGAUAACGUAGGGAAACUUACGCUAAUACCGCAUACGACCUACGGGUGAAAGCAGGGGAUCUUCGGACCUUGCGCGAUUGAAUGAGCCGAUGUCGGAUUAGCUAGUUGGCGGGGUAAAGGCCCACCAAGGCGACGAUCCGUUGCUGAUCUGAGAGGAUGAUCAGCCACACUGGAACGGAGACGCGGUCCUGACUCCUACGGGAGGCAGCAGUGGGGAAUAGUGGACAAUGGGCGCAAGCCUGAACCAGCCAUACCGCGUGGGUGAAGAAGGCCUUCGGGUUGUAAAGCCCUUUUGUGGGGAAAGAAAAGCAGCAGGUUAAUACCCCGCUGUUCUGACGGUACCCAAAGAAUAAGCACCGGCUAACUUCGUG
RNAcentral lists this ribosomal RNA (491 nucleotides) under uncultured bacterium. RNAcentral's name for it is "partial 16S ribosomal RNA". It matches the Rfam family "Bacterial small subunit ribosomal RNA", at positions 29 to 507 of the family's 1533-position model. The record is from RNAcentral.